RNAcentral lists this transfer RNA (67 nucleotides) under Marmota monax (woodchuck). RNAcentral describes it as "tRNA.Ala". The record is from RNAcentral. Lineage: Eukaryota; Metazoa; Chordata; Mammalia; Rodentia; Sciuridae.
GGUUGUAGCUCAGUGGUAGAGUGCUUGCCUAGCAUGUGUGAAGCACUGGGUUUGAUCCUCAGCACCA